UUUUUUUUUUUUUUUAAUAAUUUGCAUUGGGUUUUUUUUUUUUUUAAUUUUUAUUUAUUCAUGAUAGGCACACAGUGAGAGAGAGAGAGGCAGAGACACAGGCAGAGGGAGAAGCAGGCUCCAUGCACCGGGAGCCCGACGUGGGAUUCGAUCCCGGAUCUCCAGGAUCGCGCCCUGGGCCAAAGGCAGGCGCCAAACCGCUGCGCCACCCAGGGAUCCCUGGGUAUUUCUAUUCUUAACUUGAAGAACCUCCAUACUGUUUUCCACAGUGGCUGCAUUAGAUUGCAUUCCCACCAACAGUGCACAAGGAUUCCUUUUUUCUCCAAAUCCUCACCAACACCUAUUGGGAUAGAAGAGCACAGGUGGGGGUGGUCUCUGAAAGAUUUAAAACCAAACUAACUGGGACCCACAGCUGCCAGCACCAGCAGCAGGUUUCUGUGUGUCUGUCCAGGACCCAGGACUUACCUCAGUGGGAGAUGCAGGUGAGGGGACUCUAACAUGCUUAGAGACUCCAGACUCCAGAGGUGUAGGACUGGGGACACUGAGGUAGAGAACAGAAAGCUGAAAACCCUCAGAAGCCAAUUUUAUCUUGGCUCCCUGCCAGCCACUUUUGUGUGGGUAAAAAACUGCUUGUGUGGGCAGGUGGAAUGAUGGGACUGGGACAGGGACUGUGGAGAGCAUUUUCGAUAAUGGGUGGGGUGGAAACAGUGGCCUGGCUGGAGGAGAUCUACUGGUAGGCUGGGUUGGGGCAGAACCUGGGUGGAGCGCUUACCACAAAGACGGGAGAUUGGCACUGGCCAGGCUGUGGCCCCACACUGCUGGGCGGGAGAGAGCAGUGCUUUGGAGGAAUGCUUCUGAUAAUGGGAGAGAAACUGAAAUGGCAGGUGGAACCAAAAUGGCUGGAGGGCUGGGCCAGCGCAGAACCUGGGUGGAGAGUUCCUCCAAGAUGUCUUUCUCUGGCAUUUCUAAUUGUUUGAAUUUGUAUGUUCUGUGGACUGCUCCCUCCCCAUUUUAAGUUUAUGCUUUCAACAGUUUCUAUUAGAGCUUAGAGUUCUAUGGCUACUUGUGUUGAAUGUUUACAGUUUAUCAAGGUGAGAAUGGCUUUCCUCAAAAACAAUUUCCAUGACAAGAAACAGAAGUGCUGGCAAGGAUGUGCAGAAGAAGGACCUCUGGUCAACUGUUGGUGGGGAUACAAAGUGGUGUAGCCACCAUGGAAAAGCAUAUGGAGGUUGCUCAAGAAUGUGAAAGUGUACCUUCUUUAUGACCCAGUAAUUGCACUACUGGGUAUUUACCCAUGGAAUAUGAAAAUACUAACUCAAAAUGAUACAUGUACUGCAAUGUUGACAGCAGCAUUAUUUACAAUAGCCAAAUUAUGGAAAGCAGGUAAGUGGCCGUUGGUAGGGGAAUGGAUAAAGAAGAUAUAUAUAUAUCUCACUCAGCCAUAAAAUAGAGUGAAAUCUUGCCAUUUACAAUGACACGGAUGGAGCUAGAGAGUAUGCAAGUGAAAUAAACUAGUCAGAGAAAAACUACCAUAUGAUUGCACUUACGAAAUUUAAAAAAGAAAACAAAAGAACAAAAGGGAGAAAAGACAAACUAAAAAAUAGAUGUCUUAAGUAUAGAGAACUGGUGGCUACCAAAGGGAAGUAGGUGGAGGAUGAGAGAAAUCGGUGAUGGCAAUUAAUAGGAGUUCUGAGUAAAUACAAAUUUGUGAAAUCACUAUAUUGUACAUCUGAAAUAUAACACUGAAUGUUAACUAUGUUAUUAUUAAAAUUAAAAACUUAAUUAAAAAAUAUAAAUGGACACUUGUGGGCAGCCCUGGUGGCUCAGUGGUUUGGCGCUGCGUUCAGCCCAGGGCUGCCCGGGUAAUUCUAUUUUUAACUUUUUGAGGAAUCUUCAUACUCUUUUCCACAGUGGUUGUACCAGUUUGCAUUUUCACCAACAGUAGUACACAAGGGUUCCUUUUUCUCCAAGUCCUUGCCAACAUUUCUUAUUUCUUGUGUUGUCGAUUUUAGCCAUUUUCACAGGUCUGAGGCAAUAUCUCUGUAGUUUUGAUUUGCUCUUCCCUGAUGGUAAGUGAUGAUGAAUAUCUUUCAUGUAUCUCUUGGAUAUCUGGAUCUCUUCUACCAAAUUCACUUUACUUUUAUCCAAAGUAACUAAUGUAUUUUCAUUAAAAUAUUACUUUAUUUUUAGCACCUUUGUUCUUUUUCUAUUUCAUUUUGGAUAAAAAUUUUUUACUAUAUUAAAUUCGUAAGGUUUCACUGCCAUAUACAUUAUGUGGCAUUUCAUAAGAUUUAAAGUAAAAUUUAGAGUUUUGAUGUUCAUUACAUUUGAAUUCCUUAGUAUUUACUAAGGUUUGAGUAUUAUUGCUCAUAAAAUCUUAACUUUUCAUUCCAAAAUUGUGAUGAUCCCACAAAGAUUGAUUUUUGGAUGAAAAUGUUGCCACAUAUAUUACAUCUUAAGACUUUUCUGAGGUAUUUAUUUACUGGUGUUUAGUAAUGUUUGACUUGCUUAAACAGUGCCCUAUUCAGUAUAAUUUUAAGAUAUUCCCAGUAUGAAUGUCUGACAAGUGAAGAUUGAUCUUGUCUAAAGACUUUGUAAGUUUAUGACUUUUGCAAUUUUUCAAAUAAAUAUGAUAUUUUGUUAUCAAUAAAGAAUGGAUCAAAAGUUUCCCACCGUUAUGCAAAUGUUGGUUUUGACACUAGGAAGAAUUCUUUCAGGUUGUGACAGUAAGGAAUUAUAUAUAUUUUUAAGAUUUUUACUUAUUUGAGAGAGAGAGAGAGAGAGCACACUAAUCAGGGGAGGAGCAGAGGAAGAAGCAGACUCCCUGCUAAGCAGGAAGCCAAAUGCAGGGCUCAAUUCCAGGACCCUGAGCUGAAGGCAGAUGCUUAACUGACUGAACUUCCGAGGUGCCCCAGUAAGGAACCUUUUUUUUUUUUUUUAGAUUUUAUUUAUUUAUUCAUGAGAGAUACAGAGAGAGAGAGGCAGAGACACAGGCAGAGGGAGAAGCAGGCUCCAUGCAGGGAGCCCAAUGUGGGACUCGAUCCCAGGACUCAAGGAUCACGCCCUGGACCAAAGGCAAGGGCCAAAUCAUUGAGCCACCCAGGGAUCCCCAGUGAAGAACCAUUUUGAUAGGCUUCUUUACUUGAUUACAUUUAUAAUGUGCAUCCUCAGUUUUAAAUGUAAGUGACCCAGAUAUAACUGAAAAGAGAAUCCAAUCAUAUUAUCAAAUCAUUUCAUGAAUUUGUUUACUGCACAUUUAAAAAAUUCAGUGUUGGGGAUAGAUUUGGGGACUUUGCAGAAGGAAGAUUAUGCUGUACUAUGUAAUAGUAAAUAUUUAUGCACCCAACAGAGGAGUAUUUUAAUACAUAAAACAAUCACAAACAUAAAGGAACUGAUAAUAAUACAAUUAUAGGAGGGGACUCUAACACCCAACUUACAUCAACAGACAGAACUAAACAGAAAACCAACAAGGAAACAAUGGCUUUGAAUGACACACUGGAACAGAUGGAUUUAACACAUAUAUUCAGAACAUUCCAUCCUAAAAUAACAAAUACACAUUCUUUUCAAGUGCACACAGAACAUUCUCCAGAAUAGACCAUAUAUUGGCCCACAAAACAAACCUCAACAAAUUCAAGAAGAUAAAAUUCAUACUAUUCAUAUUUUCUGAUCAUAAUGCUGUGAAACUAGAAGUCAACCACAAGAGACUUUUUUCACAAAAAAUGUGGACAGAUUACAAAUACACAGAGGUUAAACAACAUGUUACUAAACAAUGAAUGGGCCAACCAGGAAAUGAAAGAAUAAAUUUAAAAAGUAUAUGGAAAAAAAUAAAAAGUAUAUGGAAAUAAAUGAAAAUGAAAGCAUAAUGGUCCAAAACAUAUGGGAUACAGCAAAAGUGGUUCUAUAUGGAAAAUUUCAUAGAAAUACAGGAGUACCUCAAGAAUCAAGAAAAAUAUGAAAUAACCUAAUAUUACACCUAAAAGAGCUAGAGAAAGAACAAUACACAAAACCUAAAACAAGCAGAAUGAAGGAAAUACUAAAGAUUAGGACAUAAAUAAAUCAUACAGAAACAAAAAAAAAAAAUAGAAGAGAUCAAUGAGACCAGGGGCUGGUUCUUUGAAAAAAAAAAUCAAUAAAAUUGAUAAACCUCUAGCCAGACUUAUCAAGAAGAAAAGGGAAAGGACUCAGAUAAAAUCAAUGAGAAAUCACAAAUGAGAGAAAUAACAACCAACAUCACAGAAAUACAAACAAUUAUGAGAAUAUUAUGAAAUACUAUAUGCCAACAAAUUGGACAACUUAGAAGAAACGGAUAAAUCCCUAGAAAUACAAACUUCCAAAACUGAAGAAAGAAAUAAAAAUAGACUGGUAACCAGCAAAGAAACUGAAUUAGUAAUAAAAAAAACUCCCAACAAACAAAAGUCCAGGCCAGAUGGCUUCACAGGUGAAUUCUACCAAACAUUUAAAGAAGAGUUCAUACCUAUUCUUCUCAAAUUUUCUGAAAAAGGAAAAGGAAAGAAAACUUCCCAUAUUUAAUCUAUGAGGCCAGUACUAUCAUAAUACCAAAACCAGAUAAAGACAGUACUAAAAAAGAGAAUAUAGGCCAAUAUUCCUGGUGAACAUAUAUGCAAAAAAAAAAAAAACCCUAAAUAAAUUACUAACAAACCAAAUUCAACAAACUCAAAGAAUCAUACACUAUGUCUGAGUUGCAAGGGUAGUUCAGUAUUUGCAAGUCAAUAUGAUACAUCACAUCAAUAAGGGAAAGGAUAAGAACCAUAUGAUUAUUUCAAUUAAUGCAGAAAAAGCAUUUGACAAAGUAAAACACCCAUUCAUAUUAAAAAAAAAAAUCCUUCAACAUAAUAAGUUUAGAGGGAAUAUAUCUCAACAUAACAAAGACCUUAUAAAAACCUACAGCUAACUUCAUCCUCAAUGGGGCAAAAUUGAGAGCUUUCCCCCUAACAUCAGAAACAAGACAAAGAUGUCCACUCUCACCACUUUUAUUCAACAUAGCAUUGGGGGUCCUAGCCAUAUCAGACAACAACAACAGCAACAAAAAUAAAAGGCAUCCAAAUUGGUAAGGAAGAAGUAAAACUUUCACUAUUUGCAGAUGACAUACAAUAUAAAGAAAAUGCA
RNAcentral lists this long non-coding RNA (5127 nucleotides) under Canis lupus familiaris (dog). RNAcentral's name for it is "lncRNA (ENSCAFG00845004582.1)". The record is from RNAcentral. Lineage: Eukaryota; Metazoa; Chordata; Mammalia; Carnivora; Canidae.